Molecule: ribosomal RNA, 135 nt
Filed under: Otolemur garnettii (small-eared galago)
Lineage: Eukaryota; Metazoa; Chordata; Mammalia; Primates; Galagidae
Source: RNAcentral
UGUGCCACCGUGAACAUGUCCCAUCUCGUCUAAUCUUGGAAGCUAAGCAGGGUCGGGCCUGGUUAGUACUCAGAUGGGAGAAGGAAAGGGGUGUUGCAACCCAGGGCUCCCAUUUAAGAGCCCGUGGGCCCACGG